GUGCUUCAUUUUGGCAGCUCAUAUACUAAAACUGGAAUAAUAUAAAGAUUAGCUUGUCCCUUUGCAAGGAUGACAUGAAAAUUCAUGAAUCAUUCCAAACACAC
Molecule: small nuclear RNA, 104 nt
Organism: Nomascus leucogenys (northern white-cheeked gibbon)
Lineage: Eukaryota; Metazoa; Chordata; Mammalia; Primates; Hylobatidae
Source: Ensembl